Long non-coding RNA from Alligator mississippiensis (American alligator), 594 nucleotides. RefSeq lists it as uncharacterized. NCBI's taxonomy places the organism in Eukaryota, Metazoa, Chordata, Crocodylia, Alligatoridae. The record is from RefSeq and is a predicted model, not a curated record. The transcript is spliced from 3 exons.
UUUGACCCCUGAUCAAGACCUCCCGAUGCAGCUGUCAGCUGGCAUUCGGGGCUUUGCAGGUUGUCUCCGGGCUUCAUACCCCAGCAGCCAGCUGUGUGCAGGGAGCACCGCCCUGUAAGCAGGGUUGCCGGUGCUUGCGGUCACCGUUCAUGGUGCCGCCCGAGCAGUUCUGUCCGGAGUUCUGGCCCAUCGCACUCUGCUCCUGGCUGGAUGUCAGAGGCCGAACCUGCAGACGUCUGCUCUUCCCACUUUGCACGGACUGACGAUGGAGUGGCAGCAGGUCCAUUCACAGGCUCCAGAAGGAGAAGCAGGGAAAUGGCAGACGAGCAGGAGUUAGCCACCAAGGAGGGAAGAGACCCACGUCAGCCCACCCGGAGGGAAGGUAAAGGAGUUUGAACACAGUGUCUGUCCUCUCUGCAAGUUGCAUCCCCAAGUUGCCGACCUUGUGAUGAACAUGUCGUGGAAGGUUUGGAGCAGUGGGACCCCCUUAUACACAGGAUUCGUGCCUUAGGUCCUCCUGUUGUCAUACACGGGUCCCUGAAGGGCAGCUGGACAAGAGCGAACGGAAGCAGGAAAAGAAGCUGGGGAACAAAU